UACGGAAGGUGCGAGCGUUAAUCGGAAUUACUGGGCGUAAAGCGUGCGUAGGUGGUAGAGUCAGUCGGAUGUGAAAGCCCCGGGCUUAACCUGGGAACUGCACCUGAUACUGCUUAACUAGAGUACGGAAGAGGGAAGUGGAAUUUCCUGUGUAGCGGUGAAAUGCGUAGAUAUAGGAAGGAACACCAGUGGCGAAGGCGACUGCCUGGACUGAUACUGACACUGAGGCGCGAAAGCGUGGGUAGCAAACAGG
Molecule: unclassified non-coding RNA, 253 nt
Filed under: uncultured Oceanospirillales bacterium
Lineage: Bacteria; Pseudomonadati; Pseudomonadota; Gammaproteobacteria; Oceanospirillales
Description: contains 16S-23S intergenic spacer region
Rfam family: Bacterial small subunit ribosomal RNA
Source: RNAcentral